This 253-nucleotide ribosomal RNA is filed under the name uncultured bacterium. Its description in RNAcentral is "partial 16S ribosomal RNA". It matches the Rfam family "Bacterial small subunit ribosomal RNA", at positions 524 to 776 of the family's 1533-position model. The record is from RNAcentral.
UACGGAGGGUGCAAGCGUUAUCCGGGCUCACUGGGUUUAAAGGGUGCGUCGGCGGCUAAAUAAGUCAGAGGUGAAAGCUUGCAGCUUAACUGCGAAAUUGCCUUUGAUACUGUAUAGCUUGAAAGUAGCUGAGGUCAGCAGAAUGUGGUAUGUAGCGGUGAAAUGCAUAUAAAUGCCAUAGAAUACCAAUUGCUAAAGCAUCUGGCUGGGCUUACUUUUACCCUGAGGCACGAAAGCGUGCGGAUCGAACAGG